This 274-nucleotide ribosomal RNA is filed under the name uncultured bacterium. Its description in RNAcentral is "partial 16S ribosomal RNA". It matches the Rfam family "Bacterial small subunit ribosomal RNA", at positions 523 to 796 of the family's 1533-position model. The record is from RNAcentral.
AUACAGAGGGUGCAAGCGUUAAUCGGAAUGACUGGGCGUAAAGGGCGCGUAGGCGGUCUCUUAAGUCAGAUGUGAAAGCCCGGGGCUUAACCCCGGAAGUGCAUUUGAAACUAAGGGACUUGAGUAUGGGAGAGGGAAGUGGAAUUCCUGGUGUAGCGGUGAAAUGCGUAGAUAUCAGGAGGAACACCGGUGGCGAAGGCGACUUCCUGGACCAAUACUGACGCUGAGGCGCGAAGGCGUGGGGAGCAAACAGGAUUAGAAACCCCGGUAGUCC